This 472-nucleotide ribosomal RNA is filed under the name uncultured bacterium. RNAcentral's name for it is "bacterial SSU rRNA". It matches the Rfam family "Bacterial small subunit ribosomal RNA", at positions 27 to 518 of the family's 1533-position model. The record is from RNAcentral.
GGACGAACGCUGGCGGCGUGCCUAACACAUGCAAGUCGAGCGAGGAGAUCCUCGGGAUGAUCCUAGCGGCGGACGGGUGAGUAACACGUGGGCAACCUGCCUCAUAGAGAGGAAUAGCCUUCCGAAAGGGAGAUUAAUACCUCAUAACAUUGCAGUUUCGCAUGGAACAGCAAUUAAAGGAGUAAUCCGCUAUGAGAUGGGCCCGCGGCGCAUUAGCUAGUUGGUGAGGUAACGGCUCACCAAGGCGACGAUGCGUAGCCGACCUGAGAGGGUGAUCGGCCACAUUGGGACUGAGACACGGCCCAGACUCCUACGGGAGGCAGCAGUGGGGAAUAUUGCACAAUGGGGGAAACCCUGAUGCAGCAACGCCGCGUGAGUGAUGACGGCCUUCGGGUUGUAAAGCUCUGUCUUCAGGGACGAUAAUGACGGUACCUGAGGAGGAAGCCACGGCUAACUACGUGCCAGCCGCCGC